RNAcentral lists this non-coding RNA (148 nucleotides) under Pan troglodytes (chimpanzee). The record is from Rfam by way of RNAcentral. Lineage: Eukaryota; Metazoa; Chordata; Mammalia; Primates; Hominidae.
GCCGGGCGUGGUGGCGGGCGUCUGUAAUCCCAGCUACUCCGGAGGCUGAGGCGGGAGAAUCGCUUGAACCCGGGAGGCGGAGGUUGCAGUGAGCCGAGAUCGCGCCACUGCACUCCAGCCUGGGUGACAGAGCGAGACUCCAUCUCAA